Molecule: transfer RNA, 303 nt
Filed under: Microcystis aeruginosa CCIBt3454
Lineage: Bacteria; Bacillati; Cyanobacteriota; Cyanophyceae; Chroococcales; Microcystaceae
Description: 16S-23S ribosomal RNA intergenic spacer
Rfam family: tRNA (bases 137-210)
Source: RNAcentral
UAAAGGGAGACCUAAUUCCGGUAGGAGACGAAAAAAAAGUAGUCCCUACCAAGAAUCAAUCCCAAAAGGUCGGAGCGAGGCAAGAUUGGCUUUCAAACUAGGUUCUGGGUUCACACAAGACCUGAAUCAGGAACAAGGGCUAUUAGCUCAGGUGGUUAGAGCGCACCCCUGAUAAGGGUGAGGUCCCUGGUUCGAGUCCAGGAUGGCCCACCUGCACAGGUGGCAAAAACAAAGAAAAGAAGCUCCGAAUCAGCACCUUAUCUUACUUAUAUAGUAAGAGAGAAUGCUGGCUCUGAGUUCAGA